RNAcentral lists this long non-coding RNA (958 nucleotides) under Volvox carteri. RNAcentral's name for it is "long non-coding RNA (VCAR_LNC001558)". The record is from RNAcentral. Lineage: Eukaryota; Viridiplantae; Chlorophyta; Chlorophyceae; Chlamydomonadales; Volvocaceae.
AGUAGACCGUGCUCAGAAACGGCAGCCAGAUAGAAGACAUCUUCCAAGUGACUGAUAAAAGCGGAAGCCACUCACUUCCGAGAACUUUUGGAGGUCCCCUCCUCGGCAUGCCUCGGUCACAAUGUAGACGUUGUCCUCGUCCUCGAAACAAUCCAGUAGUUGCACAACCCGUGGACUGUCCGAUAAUCUGUCCAACAAAGUGAGCUCCCUGCAAUAUGGUAGUUAAAAAAUCAACGCGAUAGUCUCGGAACAUGAAUGCCGCCUGCUCCUAGGCAUAGCACUCACCGCUGAAGCUUCUCCAGCACUUUCGCACGUGAAAGUCUUGGCCGCUCCUUCGGUAGUGUCUUAAUGGCAACCUCCUCACCCGUUGCCGCGUGAAUGCCGAGGUGCACCUUUCCGAAGCUGCCCGUUCCGAGCGCCUUCCCUUGUACGUAGGUCUCCCGAAGGUCAGUUCGCCACCCAAGCUCAAAAAGAGAUGCAUCAGAUGACGAUACUGAGGUCGAGGUUGACACAUCAGAAAACGCAGUUGCAACUAUACGUCUGACGUGGAAGCACGGCCGCGGCCUUGCAGGUCGACGGUGGCGAUAAUCCCAAUGCAAACUGGUCCCAGCUCGCAGUGAUUGGUGGCACAUUGUUUAUUUCGCUCGGGACCUGUAUGGAGGAGGUUGUGAUGGGAGCAAACUGCAGAGAAUUGUGAGGAACGUGAUAGCUGCUAUGCUCUUGUGUAUGUAUUAUAAUAUUGUAAGAGUUCUUAGCAUUCAGGUGCCUGGCAUGGGUAUAUACGGACUGCUCUUGUUGAGUCAGCAUCCACGCACGACAGUCAGCAAGUCGCUUUCCACUUUUUCGCCGCCGCUCAGGCCUUCUGUUGAAGAACCACUUCCAUACAAAGAAGGCGGUAUGGUUUGAAAGCUAUCACUUUGGGUACCUUGCAACCCUAGCUUGGACACGUAGCUACGCC